RNAcentral lists this ribosomal RNA (247 nucleotides) under uncultured bacterium. RNAcentral describes it as "partial 16S ribosomal RNA". It matches the Rfam family "Bacterial small subunit ribosomal RNA", at positions 523 to 769 of the family's 1533-position model. The record is from RNAcentral.
AUACGUAGGUGGCAAGCGUUGUCCGGAUUUACUGGGUGUAAAGGGCGUGUAGCCGGGAAGGCAAGUCAGAUGUGAAAUCUAUGAGCUCAACUCAUAAAUUGCAUUUGAAACUGUUUUUCUUGAGUGUCGGAGAGGUAGAUGGAAUUCCUAGUGUAGCGGUGAAAUGCGUAGAUAUUAGGAGGAACACCAGUGGCGAAGGCGAUCUACUGGACGAUAACUGACGGUGAGGCGCGAAAGCGUGGGGAGC